GUCUAUGGCCAUGCCGCCCUAAACAAGUCCGAUGUCUGAUCUCGGAAGCUAAGCAGUGUUGGGCCUGGUUAGUACUUGGGUGGGAGACCACCUAGGAAGACCAGGUGGCAUAAAUU
Molecule: ribosomal RNA, 116 nt
Filed under: Pteropus alecto (black flying fox)
Lineage: Eukaryota; Metazoa; Chordata; Mammalia; Chiroptera; Pteropodidae
Source: RNAcentral